UUACAGUUAAAAGAAUAGGUAAAAAAAAAAAAAAAAAAAAGAAUAGGUCAAACACAGGAUUAUGGAGAACAAUUUAAGAACCAACCAGAUUUAUCGGAGUUGACAUUUUGCUACAGAUGCUUGAGGUCUGCCUGCCUCUUCUGAAAUAGAAUGCUACAGAAACAAUUCCUUCUCUCCUUCCUCCUUGUGGUCUCCUUUCCAAGGCUGCCCCCAUCCUGAAUGGUGCCGCAUGCAUUUGCAUGUCACUCUACUGUUACGCACAAGAAUGCAUCUUAUAUUACAGCCAUCAUCAUCUCUGUGCUUUGGAAGAACUUGUGUGAAUAGUUUUCUCCUGCAUGUGCCCAUUUGAGGCUCACUUCUGAAGGAUGCCCCGGACUGCUUCGGCUCUCCUGAAUGUUUCACUCCUCUGGUUGGGCCUGGAUCAUCUCAUGAAGAAUACGGGGAGCAUCCAGGACAUUAGCAGUUCCUACUGCAGCAAGGGCUGCAGGCUUGCACAGUGCCGGUGACUGCGAUUCCCGGAGAGAGGCAGAAAGCAGGGACUAACCUCGUGCGUGGUCUGAGUUGCAUGCACACCUACCGCCCAGGAGGGUUCUGAGAGCUCACGUCCCCCGACAGCCUGGAACUGGAGUCCAGCCAUUUCACAGAAGGAAACCAGGCCCAGAGAAGAGAAUGAUUUUCUUAAGGCCACACUUCCAGACAUUGGUAAAGCAGGGACCAGACAAGACAGCUCAGGACUCAGCACCACCGUGGCCCCAGCGCCCUGGUGGGGUUUUUCCUGCCCUGUUCAUCCAGCAAACAGGCCACCAUCAAUUUGGUGAUUUUCUUGCCUCUGCUCUCCCAGCAAACUGUGACCGCCCACGCCUGACACCGGCGGCCGCCGGGACUCCCGCGCCUCCCGCCUCUGGGUGAGUUGGCUCGGAGCGCCCUCCGGCGGCCGGCAGGGAGCAGCAUUCUGAUUCCCGAUCGGAGCUGCAAAGCCGUUGCAGCCAAAGAGCUGGGGUCGAGCGAGGCCCUUCCACCGGUUCGUUUUCAUGGGGACAAUGUCACAGUCAUCUGCAACUGUCAUCUAGUUUCCAGGCAAAAGACAGGAAGGUAGCAGAAUUGUCUUGAAUCUCAUCUUGACUUUGGUUGGCCCCAGCUGGAUCAUCUUGGGCAAAUCACUUCACCUCUCUGAGGCUCAGUUUCCUUGUCUGUUAAGUGGACACGCUGCUUUAUAAGGUGAUCGUGAAGAUUGGGCAAGAUAGUACCUACUACCUCCCUAAUGCAGAGCCUUGGCAAAGGAGAACUGUUAUUAAGAGAAGCUCCCCGAUUAUUUGAAACACGUUUGAUCUAUUUGGAUUCGUUACUGAAAUCCACAAUGCCUGAUAGGUAGCUCACCUAGAGAAUCACAGGGCAUUAGUAGGAAAAAAUGUAGUUCCCGAAUUUGUAGCAUGCUCGGGCUGCUAUAACAAAAUACCAUAUACUGAAUGGCUUAAACAAUAGAAAUUUAUGUCUCACAGUUCUGGGGAUGCAAAGUCCAAGAUCUAGGUCCAGGAGGGUUUGUUGAUGGUGAGGGAUCUCUUCCUGGCUUGUAGAGGCCAACUCUUCACCAUGUCAGGGAUGCAAAGAGAGGGAGAGAGGAGCUCCCUGGUGUUUCUUCUUCUGAGGGUACUAAUCCCAUCACAAGACCUUCACCCUCAAACUUCACCUAAAACUAUCUCCCAAAGGUUCCUACUCCUAAAACUAUCAGUGGGGGCUAGGGCUUUACCCUAUGAAUUUUGAAGGACAUAACUCAUUGUCACCUCCAGCCCAAGCCUUGGCAUCCCCUGAGGUGCCCCCAUGCCACCCUGGGCUUCUGGGAACAGGGAAAUGGGACUUGGAGACUAUUAUUCUGAGAUCUUCCUGACCUUCCUCAGCAGCUAAGUACCAUCUUUUAGGUCUAAGAUGGUGAUCGUUAAGAGCUGGGUAAUUACUGGGCACCCUAUCCUGACAAAGGUGAACAUGUUUUCAGGAACUUGGACUCAUUAGACCUCACAACAAGACUUCGCUAAAGUGGCUCUGAGCACUACAGGGCCACACAGAGGAGAGCAGAUGGGGCCGAGGCUCCAGAAAGUCGCUGAGCCAGUGGUUAGCCCCAACAUUCCCCUUCAGGCUAGUCUGUCUCCCGUUCCACCUCCCUCUCAGGCCCUCCAGGCUCUGAGGGUCUGUCCCUCCACAGGCAGCUGCUGGCCAGUCGCCCAGGGGCCAUGCCGCUCACCGGUCAGCAUCACCGCCGGCAGUUGGCUCCCUGGAGACCGUCAGUUAAACCGACAAAGCCUCUGUCAGACUCCGCAGGGCGUCGCGCCAUCUGCCGCUCCAGGCUCAGCCAGGAGAGCAGUUCCUGGAACGUUCGGGCUCAGGGAGGCGGCCAACAGUCACAGGGUCGGCCCCGCAGGGACAGGGCGUAUACACGGGUUGCCCUGGGCCUGCAGACGCGCAGGUCCCUUGCUGCUGGCGGUGGCCAGAGGAGGAGGUGAGGAUGGGGGAGCCGCCAUCUGCCCAGUAAGAGGUGACAGCGCGCAGCGGGGCUGGGCAGGCUGACAGGCCUCCGGGCUCAGGCCCACCUCCGGGGGCUGGACUCCCUCCUGCGCCCCGCUCCAGGCCUCCUUGAGAGCACACCGGGGACAGGCUGGGACCCGGAGGAGGUGGGGGCUGGGGCUCGGACCCAGGGAUUAGGCCAGGAUCCUGGGAUCCCACCUGUCGGGGUGGACACGGAGCCGACAGUUUCCCGGGCUGCUCAGAAGAAUCGGAUCCCGGGCACUCAGCUCACGGGGACGUUUCUGCUCAGCGCGUGCCCACAAACGCGUGGCCGUAAGUGUGCAUUCACGGGGUGGCAGACACGCCGACCACGCCCCCUUCGGACACCGCCCUCCUCCUCCCUGCAGCCCCAGAGCAGAAGGAGGCCGCUGGAGUGGCUGGCUGCUGACCCGCUCCUGGGGACGAGGACGGGAGGCCAGCCCCCUCCCCCGCACCCCCCCCCAGCUCGGCCAGGCCAGGACAGAGCCCCAGCUCACCAGCUGCCGCAGGGACACGGCCACACCCGGGGCCACACCCGGAGCCGGAGCCGGAGCCGGAGCCAGAGCCCGAGCCCGGCUGAGCAGCCGGGCUGAGAGGUCAGAGCAGGUGAGGGGCCCAAGGACCCGCUCACCACCUGCACACACUCCCGGGCUCCCGCAGGUUCCCAGCACCUUCCUCCAGGCUCCUCCGAGGUCUCUAGUGCACAGGGAAGGCCUGAAGCAGCCCCCGAGCUCCUCCCCCUGCAGACAGGCAGCUCCUUCGGCUCUCACCCCCUUCUCCCCCCUAUAAAACCCUGAUCUCCACCUUCCCAGGCUCGCCCCACGCUGUACAGCCUCCCCACCUGCCCACCUGGGCUCUGGCCCUGCACGUCCAACAGGAAGGAGGUCCCUGGCUUUCCUGCCCCGUAGGGACCCAGGGUCAUGGAAACGAGGCGAAAUUUCCAUGACCCUGUUGACGGUGACAUUAUUUUGUAUAUGCCCCCCACGCUUGACAACAGCCUCUAAGCAGACACACCAGUCAGCAGGUCGUCCUCCGAGCCGAGCUUGUGCUCGCUGCUGAUUCUGCGCCAGCUGGUGUUUGACCGUGCUGCGGGCGUCAAGUGGUCAGACUCCCGGAAGGACCGCCAGGUGGAGAGAUGCCGGAGGCCGGGCCCACGGGACCCUGCGCGCAUCCCCGGCCCUGGCCACCCUGCCGGGGCCGGGAGGAAACCCGGGGCUGGCCGCGAGGCCUGCCCUCCCCCCACCCGCCCUGUCCACCCCGGCCUCCCGCUCUGAGCAGGACACGAGGCACACGGUUCUGAGAACCGACAGGCAGUGAGGACGAUCAAAGCGCUUGGGCCUUUCACUCUCUCCUUUUGCCAUUUCCAGGCCGGCGUGGACCGGGGUUGCGAGCUGAUGCAGCGGCCGCAGGUGGCCCCGUGGGCGGCUUCCUCCCCCCACAGCAUGACCCAAGCCCCUCCCGUCCCCUCAGGUUCACUUUUCCGCCUGGACGGAGCCUGGGAGAGCACAGGUGCCUCCCCGCGGCCCCACUGGGGCCAGGACAGGCCUCGGCGGACCCUGGAGAGACUCUGCGCCCCUGGCUUCCCGGGCCCCUUGUGCCCCGCGGGGCUCCCUCUCGCUGCCCUCCUGGUCUCGGCCCUCACGUCUGCCAGGCCAGGGCCUGGACUCAGAGGCCUGGAGCCUGCCCGCAGCCUCCGCCGGGCCAGCUGGGUCCGCGUCCUCGCCUCUCGGGCCUCCGCCUGCGCCGCCUCCUGAGUGGCCCCGGGAGAGCCUGAGAGCAGGGCAGACAGCGGGAGGGGCAGCCCAGGGACAGGACUCACCGGGGACUGCCCCCCGGGCUGCGGGCAAGGGUGAGCGCCGCGUGGUGCCUUUGCUGCGCCCCCCCCCCCCCCCCCGGAGCCACCUGGAGAACCUACCCCACCAACGACUGUGCAGGGAUCGGGCCAGCACCUGGGGCUCUGCGCCAGGGCCGCUCCUCACUGGGAUUCGCUGCCAAGAGACACGCGGAGCACCGCGGCCUCCCAGACCUUGGCCAUCCGUGCACACCUCAGGCCUCCAUCCAGGGGCUCAGUGAGGCCAAGGCCAGAGCUUGCUCAGCAGCCACCCAGGGAGCCACGUUUCAUUCCCUCUGGACUUCCCACGCCCGAGGCCUGUGGACGUGGCUAGUGGGGCCACUUCCCGAGGAGGACUCUCUAGGUGAGGUGAUUGGUGCUCCUUUCGGGUGUGUUUCCCAUUACUGAAAACAAACGUAUGUGACUGUUUCGGGUACCCUCACCUUGUAAUCAUGUUAUCACCUGGGGGGCGGGGAGUGAAGUCCCAAGUUCAAUGCUAAGCCCGUGUCUCUCUCGAGAAGGGAAGGAGGUCCUUGCAGGUGGGACAUGAUUGGGGGCACCGGGGACCUCGCCAGGGUUGGUGCGUGCGUGGCCCAAGCCUGAAUUUGGGUUUGAGGACCUCUCUCUGGAAGGGUUUCAUGACCAGAUGGUCCUGGAGAUGGCAGCACGGGUUUUGGUCUUCAAAGCAUUUCUCUUACUGGGCCAUGACUCUUCUCGUUUAUUCUCUGUUCUCUUCCGUUCCGUCGUCUUUGGGGCUCAUUUGCUGGUUGUUCACAGGGUGUUACAGAGUAAUCCCCUUCCAGGGACCCCUAUGCCCUGAGAGCUUAUGCUGGCCUCCUCCCAUUCUUUCUGGUAUCUGCUCCUUUGGAGGGGCCAUGCUGUUGUUUUCUAAAGAUUCCCUGCUGGCUUUUCCUUUUUUCAUAAUCUGAUCAUCUUUAACACUCUCCCUUUUUAUUGUCCCUGUUUUUUUCUGGUGACAUUUUUUUGAGUUUUUACCAGAUCCAUCAUUGAUCCCCUGUUAUCGUUGGCUUACAGUUUCAAAAGAAAAAUAUGGUCAUAAUGGGCUCCGCUGAGACUUCAAAAAAAUAAACCUGGUAUAGGUCUGUGAGCUUGGAUUGGGUCGCCAGUACCAAUCCAAUCUUUAUCCUCCUGUCUGUAGCUUAAUCUUCUAAGGUUAUGGUGACAGUUUAGUGUUUUGGUUCCAAAGGGCCAAACGAGUCAGAGCUGGCAUAGGCACUUCCUGUAGAAGACUCGUUUUCUCAUGUCCUUUCAUAUUUUCCAGGAAAAAUGGACUUCAUUUAUUUCACUUACUGAUGUUUCAAUUCCUUUCUUGUAAGUGCCUUGCUGAUUAGGGAGUGUCACUAAGUAGUUGUCAUCCAAGGUCCAAGGAAUGGCCAGUGAGACGUGAACCUCCCCUAUAGCGGGUUUGUUACUGGUUUGUUGGGCUUUACAGGCAGUGACCUGCCACCUUCCUCAUCCCUAUAGUGUCUCAUCAUCUUGAAGUAGCCAUUCCCCCCAGCUAUGUCCCACUGCCCCAGUGGUACCAGGUGGACUCAUAAAUAAGAGCUGAGUUUGUAGGAUGUCAGAAAGAAAUGUGGCAGAAGAAGUGCAGGGACUGGAGAAUCUCUGUGCCCAGACUUCUUUAUGUCUUGUCCCCAGGGGUUUUAUCUCCUCUCAGUGAUGACCUGGCCACAGCCAGCUCCUACUGUAAUUGGAUCUCAGUGAGACCUUUGCAUCCCCCCAUUCCUUCCCACUGUGACUCAUCCACAGUCACCUCCCUGAUCUGCUUGCUCUCUGAGUCCAUGCUGCAGAGGGAACCAUCCUGACAUUGUUCCUUGUCUUCUUUCAUCUUGGCCUGUCUCCCACUGCAUCCUACCUGUUCACUGUUCCCUAUGGAGUCAGAAAUGUCCCAUGCUUUAGAGGUUAAAAAAAAAAAAGGAUUCAGAAAGAGUGGUCUUCACAAGUUGAGGUAAGACCUCAUUCCAGAGCUUAGUAAUACUGGGCAGCCUC
This is an RNA transcript of Canis lupus familiaris (dog), 6376 nucleotides long. RefSeq lists it as uncharacterized. NCBI's taxonomy places the organism in Eukaryota, Metazoa, Chordata, Mammalia, Carnivora, Canidae. The transcript has 2 exons. The record is from RefSeq and is a predicted model, not a curated record.